ACGCAGAGCAUGUUAGUUAAAGCAGAUUCGACAAAAAAAAAUAAUAAAAAAAAAUCGAAAUAUUAUUUAAUUUUUGGCCUUAAGCUCGGGAGAAUAUUACGUAGCACAGUGUGGAGAUUGUUAGGCGAUGGCCAAGAGGUUACUCGAAUGUCCGCCUGCGCUUGGCAUUCAUGCUUUAUUCAUGGGAGAUAGUGGACGGGGUCGGACCACCCGCUCGACUACCGCCAUCCAUCACGCCACUAACUAUAAGCGACUGUCAGUCGACGACGGCGGUCGAUAGUUUUCCCCUCUAUUUUCCCCGUUUUAAUUACGGAUACCUCCUCCGUCGGAAGGACCCCCUACCAUGGAGGCGAUUACUGUCCGUUAGAAAAGGCCACCCACCCCAAGACGGGUACGGAACCUCCAUCCAUCUCUGGC
This 417-nucleotide long non-coding RNA is filed under the name Androctonus crassicauda. The record is from RNAcentral. Lineage: Eukaryota; Metazoa; Arthropoda; Arachnida; Scorpiones; Buthidae.